RNAcentral lists this long non-coding RNA (1834 nucleotides) under Anas platyrhynchos platyrhynchos (common mallard). Its description in RNAcentral is "lncRNA (ENSAPLG00000020813.1)". The record is from RNAcentral. Lineage: Eukaryota; Metazoa; Chordata; Aves; Anseriformes; Anatidae.
CCAUCUUGCUGCCUGCAUGAAACUACCAGUAAUUACAUUGAAUUACUCCUAUGCAGGCCUUUGAUGUCUUACUUUUUUGUUUGUUUGUUAUAUCUUGAGUUAGUUAGUGAAAAAACACACACAGACUUGGUAAUCAGGGGUCUUCCAAGUGAGGAUCCACAGCUUGGAGGAGUCCCCUCGGAAAGAUGAUGUUAGUAAUCCAAACCCUGCUUGUGCAUCUUUGUCUCAGCCUGUCUCCGAUAGAGAGACAUAAGCUUUUAAUAGACUGAGAAAUUCCUUGGAGGUGUUUGUUAGUUUGCAAUUACUUUGCAAUUGAUUUUCUUAAAAAACAAUUCAUAACUUGUUAAAGAUCUUCCCUCCCUCCUUCUCUCCCAGUUUCCUUUUCCAUCUCUGUCACUGCCCAGUAUUUACAGUCAUAAAGCCUAUUUGUUUCCCAUUGCUUAGGGAGAUGAUUUUUUCUACAGAGAGAAAAAAAUGAGACCUAAUCAUUUGUAAAACUGGAUUUACAGUCAGAUCCUCCUGGGGACUGAGUAUAAUUCUUACAGUGAUGACUUCUGCAAAUGUAGUUUAGGUGGUUAACCUAUUUGCCUCUGUUUCCCUUUUUGUAAAAUAAGGUCUAUUUUAGAAUAGCUCCUGUAGACCAAAUGCUGUCAGUGAAUUUGUGAAUGGCUUAGGGGAAAUAUAGCAAAAUAUAGCAAAAGUGAAUGAAUGCUUCAUUCAGAAUGGAAGAACACUAAGAGCUGUCCUCCAAAACAAACCUGACUGUCUCCUAACACCUGCAACUUGCACACUCAGCAAUGAACCUUCCUGCUUUUCUCCACCAGGGCCUGCAGCUGGGAACUCAAGAGUUGGAGGAGAUGGGAAGCAAGUUUUGCCUUGCUCUGCUCAUUCUGCAUCUCAAAUCCUUGCCCUGCAGCAAGAAGGUGAUGGACCAGGCAGCGCUCCUGCUGGAUCUGGAUGAGGAGAUAACAGACCGAGCACAAAGCUCAGGUCCCUCUGUUGGUCAUGGUCCAUCAGGAAUUUAACCCCACCAGCGUCAAAUGUCUGUAACAAAGCAUCCACUAAUUCCUUAAACUUCUCAGAAAUGGAGUACUCUGGCAUAUGAGCUGGAAUUUAUCAGAAAGGGAAUAAUGAAUAGGCUCACUCAAGGUCUCUACACUUUUCAGUGUAUUUUCCUCAUGUCUGGUAUUUCCAUCCACUUACAGAGUGGCUCUGAGUAACCAGCUAUUGGUGAAGGAACAGUAGGAAGAUGGUUACUGAAAUUUCAGAGAUUAUUUCCCCUGUAGGUGUGACAGGAAUAGUCAUGAAGACAGGAUACCUGUUUGCAUAGAUGUCUCUCAUGCCUUCUGGUACUUUCUCACUUUUACUCCAUCCCUUGUGGGGUGCUGGAUCUGUGUGCAGUUAAUAGAACUUAAAUAAGGUGACUCUCAAACAGCAGUGUCCUUGAUCCAUCAUUAAAAAUGUCCUUGAAGCAUCGUGUCAUCAGAUGGAAGGUUUGUGUUGCUACUCACUGGCAGUACUUGUUCUGCCGUGUAUGUUACACAGCCCCAAUAUAUUUUGUGCUGUUCAGGGGGGAGCGAGCUGCUUUGGUUUUGCUUCUUUUUACUUUUUUGUUUUGUUUUGUUUUGUUUUGUUUAAAUGUUUUUCCCUGAAGGGCACAUGAGAGCUGUGGGGGUAGGAAUGCGAUUGCAGGAAGGUAACCUUUCCCAUCCCUGAGUUUUCUCAAGAGAUGCAUGCAACAGCAAGAUACAUGUAAACCCAUCAGAGCUGUUAGUGUGGCUUAAUACUAACAGAUGUAAACCCUUGAAGGAAAUAAACAGCCUAGCUCUGAACA